AUCUAUUACUGCAAGGGAUGACAUAUUUAAAAUAGGAAAAAAUUUAGGAACUUUGUUACAAAAGAAAGAAAAUUAGGAACCUAAAAAUUGGGAGACGAGUGUUCCCUCCUCUCUCUCUCUCUCUCUCUCUCUUUCUCACACAUAUGCACACUAGGAUGAAAGAAAUACAAUUAGAGAGAACAAAGAAGGAUUCCAAGGAAAAAAAGAAAAGAAAAAAAGGAGUGUAGAGGCUUCCUCCCAAAAAGGAGCAAAGACGGAAAGAAUAGAAACUUUCACACUAUAAGGAUCAUCAAUUCCUUUGUAUAUUUGAGUCCACGACUAUUAAUAUCAGUUAGUUUAGUCGGUCAAUUAGUUCAGAAUCAGUUACUGCAAUUCAAUCAGCUCAUUACAUAAGUUGUACUCAUUGAUUCUUGUAAUGAUUGAGAAAACAAAAUUCUCCAUCCAAUUCACAGGAUGGUCAGGACUCAACAAAUUGAGAUCUGGUUUAUCACCGCUAUUUUAAGUUUCAUGAUUCCCUUCUCCGAUUUCUCCAAUUGAAAACCAGAGCUCCACUCCUUCUCUAUCUUCAUCUUCUUUCCUGGAUUACUCAGCCAAUCGGCCGGAUCCCCUCUACAUUGGUGAUCUUAAUACAAACCCUUGGUUGGUGUUGGAUUCACCUUGAAUGGGAGCAAUCAUCACUCAUGGGCUAUAGUAAUGAAACUAACUUUGUUAGUUGGGAGCAUGGGAAAGAUGCACGCUUCAACUUUCUAUGGACUGAUCAAGCCUUUGAGGUUUGAAAGAUCUAUAAAAUUGUUCUUACAAGAGACGUGUUUUGAGUCUCAGAAUUGCAAGAGUAAAUCUAUUGAUGUAACCUAGGAAAUCUCUCAGUAUCUAAGUAAUUCACUCCUCAGCAUGUUAUAUCAUCAAACAAUCUAGGAAAAUUUGAAAUAAAGGACUGUUCGAAAAAUGUUGAGCAUGAAUAUCAUACAAAAAAUAGAGGCAUAUUCCUAACAUCAUUUAGACUGCUCAUAAUAAUUUUUCAC
RNAcentral lists this long non-coding RNA (1022 nucleotides) under Trifolium pratense (red clover). RNAcentral describes it as "long non-coding RNA (TPRA_LNC006174)". The record is from RNAcentral. Lineage: Eukaryota; Viridiplantae; Streptophyta; Magnoliopsida; Fabales; Fabaceae.